AAGAUUUAAUGUGAGAUCAUAAUUCUUUAUGUGUAAUCUGAUGGACCAAUUUCUCUGUUGUUAGUUGGUCUUCCCCUGAGUAUGUGGCUGGGGAGCUGCCUCUAUAGAUGGCCGUCGCAGAUAGCUGCCUCUAUAGAUGGCCGUCGCAGACUGCUGGUCACCUCCACUGUCAGAGAUCAUUACUUCUUGUAUAAUGUAUCAGUUUCACCAUUGUAGUGCCUUGUGUCAUAUCCAGCAAAAAAGGAAACACUAUAGACUGGAUCCGUUCCGAGGUGACCAAAAACAAAACGAACAUUUGGCUCAAGAAAUACUUUUGGCAGUUAGAAAUUCCGUUGGUCCUAUUCAGUCACAAAUGUUCUGUUCCUCUCCAUAACGUUCCCUUGUUUUUGUGCUUGUAGCUAAGUUCGAAAGAACAAGUCUUGCAUCCAUUUCAAAAGACUUCCAUCCAUUCCAAAAUACAAGCAUCACUAAUUUAUCAUACCACUUAGGCUGGUUCGUUUGCCUGGUAAGAUAUCUCAUAUUUCUCGUUUUUUGCGCGC
Molecule: long non-coding RNA, 539 nt
Filed under: Oryza brachyantha (malo sina)
Lineage: Eukaryota; Viridiplantae; Streptophyta; Magnoliopsida; Poales; Poaceae
Description: long non-coding RNA (OBRA_LNC000140)
Source: RNAcentral